This is a long non-coding RNA of Gossypium raimondii (Peruvian cotton), 782 nucleotides long. RefSeq lists it as uncharacterized. NCBI's taxonomy places the organism in Eukaryota, Viridiplantae, Streptophyta, Magnoliopsida, Malvales, Malvaceae. The record is from RefSeq and is a predicted model, not a curated record. The transcript has 2 exons.
UUAAAAUGGGCUUGGAAGUCCAAAACAAAAGCAGAUAGAAAAUGAAGUUCAAACUGAUAAAAUAAAGAAAAUAAAACAUGAUGCAACUCUAGAGCUUCUUCCAAACCCUUCAGUGACCAGAAAACCCAAACAGCCAAAACCUUGCGAGAUCUGGUAAUCAGAACUAGCAAACAAUGGAAGGGAGUUGAGAUAUACCUUUAGAAUAUCAGAAGUUCUCAACCCAGAGCAGCGAGCAGUAGAGGAGGGAAAUUAUGGUGGCCAGAUGAAAAGACGAUCCAAAUCUGCCAUUUCCAUCGCUUUUAAUAGGGCAUCUUCAACCCAGAACGAGUCUUCUGAUCUUCUCAUCCCUUCGACCGCCAUCGCAUGCGCCACUGCGUUACUUUCUCCCGCAACGAACUCAAAAUGACAUGAAGAAAAUUUCAUUAGAAACCGACGUCAACAUUCACUUUGACCCAAUUCGUAGGAGGGGGCUCCCAUUUUAUCAACUAUCUGGGUCAGGGGUGUUGUAAUAUUCCAAAAAGCCUCUUGUACUCCCUGCCAUAACCCCUGAUAAAGGUAACAACUUCCUCCACACUUUGUACUUUUCUUUCAUGUAUCAGUUUGUUGCGGGAAAAUCAGAUUGCCCAAAUUGUAAUGGCUAUUUCCCCUUUACUGUUACUGGAGUUUAACCAGUUGUUAAAACUCAUAGACGCAUUGAACUUGGCCACUGAUAAUUUAAUUUUGAUCAAACAUGCAUAGUGAAUGCACAGUCUCGUGCAACAUGAACAUGUGAUUUACUACAA